This 253-nucleotide ribosomal RNA is filed under the name uncultured bacterium. RNAcentral's name for it is "partial 16S ribosomal RNA". It matches the Rfam family "Bacterial small subunit ribosomal RNA", at positions 524 to 776 of the family's 1533-position model. The record is from RNAcentral.
UACGUAGGGUCCGAGCGUUGUCCGGAAUUACUGGGCGUAAAGAGCUCGUAGGCGGUUUGUCGCGUCUGCUGUGAAAACCCGAGGCUCAACCUCGGGCCUGCAGUGGGUACGGGCAGACUAGAGUGCGGUAGGGGAGAUUGGAAUUCCUGGUGUAGCGGUGGAAUGCGCAGAUAUCAGGAGGAACACCGAUGGCGAAGGCAGAUCUCUGGGCCGUAACUGACGCUGAGGAGCGAAAGCAUGGGGAGCGAACAGG